CCCCCCACCGCUCCUCCUGGUCAUACACACACAUCUCUCAUCCACCUGUUUUAUUACCUGUACAAUAUGUCCAUAUUCUGUAUAUUAUCUGUAAACUAGUAUAGCAUGCUCACUGCACCUUAAUCUGUAUAUUAUAAUCCUAAGAAUA
Labrus mixtus (cuckoo wrasse) is the source of this 148-nucleotide long non-coding RNA. RefSeq lists it as uncharacterized. The transcript is spliced from 2 exons. NCBI's taxonomy places the organism in Eukaryota, Metazoa, Chordata, Actinopteri, Labriformes, Labridae. The record is from RefSeq and is a predicted model, not a curated record.